Molecule: ribosomal RNA, 465 nt
Filed under: uncultured soil bacterium
Lineage: Bacteria
Description: bacterial SSU rRNA
Rfam family: Bacterial small subunit ribosomal RNA
Source: RNAcentral
AGGACGAACGCUGGCGGCGUGCUUAACACAUGCAAGUCACGGGGGCUCGCAAGAGCAACCGGCGAACGGGUGCGUAACACGUGAGCAACCUACCGAUUUGUGGGGGAUAGCCGGCCCAACGGCCGGGUAAUACCGCGUACGACCCUCGGGGGGCAUCCCCUGGAGGUGAAAGCCGCAAGGCGCCGAUGGAGAACUUCGCGGCCUAUCAGCUAGUUGGUGGGGUCAUGGCCUACCAAGGCGACGACGGGUAGCUGGUCCGAGAGGAUGACCAGCCACAUUGGGACUGAGACACGGCCCAGACUCCUACGGGAGCAGCAGUGGGGAAUAUUGCGCAAUGGGCGAAAGCCUGACGCAGCGACGCCGCGUGUGGGAUGACGGCCUUCGGGUGUAAACCACUGUCGCGAGGGACGAAGAUCUGACGGUACCUCGAAAGGAAGCACCGGCUAACUCUGUGCCAGCAGCCGC